UUGAAUACAUGAGUUUUUAAUAUAAUCAAUCAAACAUAAAGAAAGAAGGCAAAUUACUUAACUAAUAGGAUAAUAAUCACAGUUAGCCCAUCACCGGCUAGAAUGAAAAUAUGAACUGUAUUUUAUCUUAUUUUGAUUGGAUGGAUACAUACAACAUUGGUCAUUGAAAUCCAUGAUAUUCAAUAAAAAUAUAAGUCAAAGUGUGUAUAUAAACAUCUUUAAGUGUUUCAUUUUUUCAGAAAACAAAUUCAUUUACCAAAAUUUAAAUGAAACAAUAAUUGAAUAGAUAAGAAGAAGAAGAAGAAGAAGAAGAAGAAGAAAUAAUAGUGAUGCGGAAACAGAUGGGAAAAAGAGUACGAUGGAUGCAUACGGCUUACAACAGCGAGAAUCACGGCAGCAACCCAAUCCCAUAACACAGAAAAACAAAGAGAUGCUGUCUUUUUCGAUUAUAUGCGAAACCUAAAUCCUAAUUAAAAUAUUAACUCACACUUUUAUUAUAUUAUGAACUAAUGC
Molecule: long non-coding RNA, 513 nt
Filed under: Gossypium raimondii (Peruvian cotton)
Lineage: Eukaryota; Viridiplantae; Streptophyta; Magnoliopsida; Malvales; Malvaceae
Description: long non-coding RNA (GRAI_LNC005091)
Source: RNAcentral